GUGGAUUAGAUACCCCGGUAGUCCACGCCGUAAACGAUGGACACUAGGCGUCGGGGGGAGCGACCCUCCCGGUGCCGUCGCUAACGCAGUAAGUGUCCCGCCUGGGGAGUACGGCCGCAAGGCUGAAACUCAAAGGAAUUGACGGGGGCCCGCACAAGCGGUGGAGCAUGUGGUUUAAUUCGAAGCAACGCGAAGAACCUUACCUGGGCUUGACAUGCUGGUGAAAGCCGGUGGAAACAUCGGCCCCUCUUCGGAGCGCCAGCACAGGUGCUGCACGGCCGUCGACAGCU
RNAcentral lists this ribosomal RNA (290 nucleotides) under uncultured bacterium. RNAcentral describes it as "partial 16S ribosomal RNA". It matches the Rfam family "Bacterial small subunit ribosomal RNA", at positions 773 to 1060 of the family's 1533-position model. The record is from RNAcentral.